RNAcentral lists this long non-coding RNA (732 nucleotides) under Androctonus crassicauda. The record is from RNAcentral. Lineage: Eukaryota; Metazoa; Arthropoda; Arachnida; Scorpiones; Buthidae.
GCACAAUUACAUCAAUAAUUAGUGUUAAUUUUCAUAAUGUAAUCUAAAAAAGACAAUUUUUUUAAAUAAAAGAAAGUUAAUUUUCCAUAAUAAAUAUACUGUUGAUGAAAUAGAAGUGACCACAUCAAAUAUUAAAGCAAUGGGAGGGAUAGAAAUUCAAUUCCAGAUCCCACACUUCCAUGUUUCACCUUAUAGAUUAUUGGCCAGUCCAAUCAGGAUGUAGGCAGUGCAUGAUAGACCUUGGAAUUGCCCUAUUGUUGAAUAAUCUUUGAUUGGAAAGUAGCAUAAAAAUUAGAAUGAAAGAAAGAAAUGUCUCCAAUAAAAGCUGAUACCUGCUAUUGUUUACCAAUUUCAAUAAAAUAUUCUUUGCAUGAAAAUACACAGGUAUACAAGUACAAGAAUACAAGUAGUCCUCUACUUAUAACAAUGAAGAAAUCGAUUAAUUCUGUGAUGGGUCAAUACAAUGUAAUGUGUUUGUCUAGAAUUGGAUCUAGAAUUGAAUCCAAAACUUCAACUUCAGGUUGUAAGACAACACUUUAUAAUGCAGCCAUCCUGCACACAGGAGGGAUGAACUAGAUUGUGGAAAACUGACAAUUGAGCUAGGAUCUUUCAUAUAUAAUUUUCUGGAUUAGGAUUUGAUUCUGAUUUUAUGGGAGAAAAGCCAAAACCAUUUCACAUGAAUUCAGCUGAGUGUGUUUUAUAUUGAAAUUUGGCAGAAUACAUCCCACAUGC